RNAcentral lists this transfer RNA (62 nucleotides) under Lactiforis takii. RNAcentral's name for it is "tRNA-His". Lineage: Eukaryota; Metazoa; Mollusca; Gastropoda; Amphibolidae. The record is from RNAcentral.
CCAUUUGUAGGUUAUGUAAACCGAAGACUUGUGGCGUCUUAAAAUUCUUAUGAACGAGUGGU